AACAGGAUUAGAUACCCUGGUAGUCCACGCCGUAAACCAUGUCGACUUGGAGGUUGUUCCCUUGAGGAGUGGCUUCCGGAGCUAACGCGUUAAGUCGACCGCCUGGGGAGUACGGCCGCAAGGUUAAAACUCAAAUGAAUUGACGGGGGCCCGCACAAGCGGUGGAGCAUGUGGUUUAAUUCGAUGCAACGCGAAGAACCUUACCUACUCUUGACAUCCACGGAAUUCGGCAGAGAUGCCUUAGUGCCUUCGGGAACCGUGAGACAGGUGCUGCAUGGCUGUCGUCAGCUCGUGUUGUGAAAUGUUGGGUUAAGUCCCGCAACGAGCGCAACCCUUAUCCUUUGUUGCCAGCGAUUCGGUCGGGAACUCAAAGGAGACUGCCGGUGAUAAACCGGAGGAAGGUGGGGAUGACGUCAAGUCAUCAUGGCCCUUACGAGUAGGGCUACACACGUGCUACAAUGGCGCAUACAAAGAGAAGCGACCUCGCGAGAGCAAGCGGACCUCAUAAAGUGCGUCGUAGUCCGGAUCGGAGUCUGCAACUCGACUCCGUGAAGUCGGAAUCGCUAGUAAUCGUGGAUCAGAAUGCCACGGUGAAUACGUUCCCGGGCCUUGUACACACCGCCCGUCACACCAUGGGAGUGGGUUGCAAAAGAAGUAGGUAGCUUAACCUUCGGGAGGGCGCUUACCACUUUGUGAUUCAUGACUGGGGUGAAGUCGUAACAAGGUA
This 727-nucleotide ribosomal RNA is filed under the name uncultured bacterium. RNAcentral describes it as "bacterial SSU rRNA". It matches the Rfam family "Bacterial small subunit ribosomal RNA", at positions 771 to 1498 of the family's 1533-position model. The record is from RNAcentral.